Molecule: long non-coding RNA, 1956 nt
Organism: Equus asinus (donkey)
Lineage: Eukaryota; Metazoa; Chordata; Mammalia; Perissodactyla; Equidae
Source: Ensembl
AUUGGAUCCGAUUUCGGGGGGAGGAGGAUGGUGGCGCAGGGCUGGGUGACGAGAGGGGAGGGGAGGAGCUGGGAGGCGAGCGCUGCCGCUGGACGGGUGGGGGUGGGGGGUGCUGCGGGGAAGGCGGGGGAGCCGGGACGUCCAAGUGUGCCGACAAGCCCGGCUGGCUGUGGAGUAGAGGGAAACACCUCUUUUAUCAAAAUUGGCUUCAAAAGAUGUCUAUCUCCCGUUUCUGGUGAGUCAUCUGUCCAUUCACAAGUGUUGGAAGUGGGAAGGAGGCCACUGAGAGACUCCCCAAGGAUACGCUAAUUGGAUGAGGAAACUCUGGAACUGAAGGGAACUUUAAUGUCCAUUUCAUUCAUCCCUCUACUUUAAAGCACCAAACGAAGGCCCAUCCAAGGUGAAAAGCAUCCAUUUCUUGGAGAAAUGCCACUGUGAGAUUGCAAGUCCCAGGACCAGGACUUAUGUGUCUCUUUUUCCAGCGAAGUGGCUAAAGGUCUGGAGCUGAAGUUGCAAAUGCCAUAGUGUCCUUGAAUCUCAAGUCUGGACUGAAAAAAGUUCUUAAAGGUCCCCUGGUUCAACCUUCUACUUAACGUGGAAAUCCUUUCUACCACAUCCCUGCAUGGGAAUCACAGGUCUCUGUACCUGUCUAGCAUAGUCCACUUGGGGGGUUAUUCUCCUAAUUAAAACAUCUUUCUCUUACUAAAUGGGAAAUUACCUCCAAUUUCUAUUCACCCCAUAUUUCUUCAGUUCCUACUAUGUGCCAGGCAUGCUGCUAGGCCCAUGAGAUAUAAAGUUGGAUAAAUCCCAGGAUUUACCUUUAAGGGGUUCAGAGUGGAGCAAUGGAAAUGGUCACAGAGUAUGACGCACAAAGUUCCUGGGGGACAUGGGGGAAGAAUGCUGAGUUCUGCUAGUGGAGGUGGGAGAAGGCUUUGUAGAUGAUGGGACCUCAGAACCGAGCCUGGAGAAGUAGGGUUGGAUUUCACUAGGAACAUAUGGACAUUAGCAAUAUAACUCUCCAGCGAACCAGGAUAAGCAGGGCCUGGGCAGCGUUGAAUUCAAGAAAUAUUGGGAGGUGGGACCACAGGCUUUAGUGAUUGUUGUAUCUGGAGGGUGACAGAGAACAUUGUUGCAAAUUCUGCAGUUCCCUGAACUCAGUUCCCCUGCUGCCCUAGGAGUCUUCUCUUCUCUGGCACUCAGUUAGUUUACCACAGACCACAUGCUUUCCAGAACCUGCAACAUUCUCAUCACCUCUCUUAAAACACAGUGGUUUUUUGGGGCCUCUCUUAGAUGUGGUCACCAGACUCAAACACAUCUACCAAAAGAUACAUAACCAGGGGAGAAUACAGUAUCUUUUUAAGCGAACAGGACUUUUCUUCUCCUCUCAAUUCCAUGUCCCGUCAUUCCCUUCCCUCAUGCCCAGGGGAGGACCUUUCCCCUUCCUAAGUCUCAAUUUGUUUAUCAGCACCAUCUAGUCAAUAGAGCACACGAUCACUUAAACGAAAAGUGAAUAAAACUGGGUUUUGAACAUUCAUUUGUUCAGUCAGUAAGAAUUUCUGAUAUUUAUAACGCGCAAGGCAUUAUGAGCAUUGUAAUUAAAUACCUCCUACGCACCAGACACACACGCUGUAAUGAUGGGUAAAUUUCAGGAUUUGCCUUUAACAAGUUCAGUCUAAAUAUCUAAAUAUCUAAAAAGAUGUUUAAAACAAGUUUUUUACCAACAAAUGACUUAUAGUCUAGAAGGCAAGGACUGCCAGCCAGCCAGACUUUCAUUCGUGUUGUAAUAAUACGUGACAUGCAUUGAAUUCUUCUAAGCGCUUGACAUGAAUCAACUCACUCCAUCCUCAUAAUAACACUAUGAGGCUGGUAGAUACUCUUACCAAGAUUUUCAUUUCACAGAGGAGGAAACUGAGGCACAGUAGCUCAAGGUCACACAACUAAAAAUAAGGGAACCAG